RNAcentral lists this long non-coding RNA (209 nucleotides) under Elaeis guineensis (African oil palm). RNAcentral's name for it is "long non-coding RNA (EGUI_LNC043053)". Lineage: Eukaryota; Viridiplantae; Streptophyta; Magnoliopsida; Arecales; Arecaceae. The record is from RNAcentral.
UGGUGCCUCUACAAUGGGUUUUGAGUUUGAUCUGAUCAAAUCUGGUUCUAUGGAUUCACUAGAUUAUGUCGGUUCUUUUAUCUGUCGAGCUUCAUAAGUUUUACAUUAAAGGCAUCAGUAUCUUCAUCUUCUGAAAGGAAUACCAAACAACUCUUUUUCUUUAGCAUGGUAGAAGUAUAUCCCCUAGAUUCUUUAGGAUUAUUCUACAA